This is a long non-coding RNA of Scleropages formosus (Asian bonytongue), 108 nucleotides long. RefSeq lists it as uncharacterized. The transcript is spliced from 3 exons. The record is from RefSeq and is a predicted model, not a curated record. Lineage: Eukaryota; Metazoa; Chordata; Actinopteri; Osteoglossiformes; Osteoglossidae.
AUGUGAGUUUACAGGAACUGAAGUCUGAAAAAGGUGGUAAAAUUGACAAGGAGAAUCAUGACCAUCUUGCUGAAGGUAAAAACCUCCCCAAGGAGAAGAGGAACAAGU